This 222-nucleotide long non-coding RNA is filed under the name Elaeis guineensis (African oil palm). Its description in RNAcentral is "long non-coding RNA (EGUI_LNC019030)". Lineage: Eukaryota; Viridiplantae; Streptophyta; Magnoliopsida; Arecales; Arecaceae. The record is from RNAcentral.
CCUCUAAAAGCUCCAUCCUAACAUUAUUACCCACGCUGGCAAUUAAUUAUCUGAAUAUGAAAAAUAAAAAGAAAGGUAAUGAGCUAAACAGCCCAGUAAGUAACAAAUAUUUCAACUAGAUAUUUCAGAUAUUUAUAUAAUUUUCAAAAACAAUGCUAUGAAUAAACAUAAAAAUAUAUUUCAUGCUAAUUCAAUGUAAAUCCAAUCUUUUCAAAUAUUUUC